This 253-nucleotide ribosomal RNA is filed under the name uncultured bacterium. RNAcentral describes it as "partial 16S ribosomal RNA". It matches the Rfam family "Bacterial small subunit ribosomal RNA", at positions 524 to 776 of the family's 1533-position model. The record is from RNAcentral.
UACGGAGGAUGCGAGCGUUAUCCGGAUUUAUUGGGUUUAAAGGGUGCGCAGGCGGGCUGUUAAGCCGGCGGUAAAAAUUCAGGGCUCAACCCCGGCCUGCCGUCGGGAACUGGGUGCCUUGAGUGGGCGAGAAGUAUGCGGAAUGCGUGGUGUAGCGGUGAAAUGCAUAGAUAUCACGCAGAACGCCGAUUGCGAAGGCAGCAUACCGGCGCCCAACUGACGCUGAGGCACGAAAGCGUGGGGAUCGAACAGG